This 343-nucleotide unclassified non-coding RNA is filed under the name soil metagenome. RNAcentral's name for it is "partial contains 5.8S ribosomal RNA, internal transcribed spacer 2, and large subunit ribosomal RNA". The stretch from base 1 to 119 matches the Rfam family "5.8S ribosomal RNA", at positions 35 to 154 of the family's 154-position model. The record is from RNAcentral.
GAUGAAGAACGCAGCGAAAUGCGAUACGUAAUGUGAAUUGCAAAUUCAGUGAAUCAUCGAGUCUUUGAACGCACAUUGCGCCCCCUGGUAUUCCGGGGGGCAUGCCUGUCCGAGCGUCAUUGCUGCCCUCAAGCACGGCUUGUGUGUUGGGCCCCGUCCUCCGAUCCCGGGGGACGGGCCCGAAAGGCAGCGGCGGCACCGCGUCCGGUCCUCGAGCGUAUGGGGCUUUGUCACCCGCUCUGUAGGCCCGGCCGGCGCUUGCCGAUCAACCCAAAUUUUUAUCCAGGUUGACCUCGGAUCAGGUAGGGAUACCCGCUGAACUUAAGCAUAUCAAUGCGGAGGA